This 440-nucleotide ribosomal RNA is filed under the name uncultured bacterium. RNAcentral's name for it is "partial 16S ribosomal RNA". It matches the Rfam family "Bacterial small subunit ribosomal RNA", at positions 339 to 795 of the family's 1533-position model. The record is from RNAcentral.
CUACGGGAGGCACCAGUGAGGAAUAUUGCACAAUGGGGGGAACCCUGAUGCAGCAACGCCGCGUGGAGGAUGACGCAUUUCGGUGUGUAAACUCCUUUUAUAUGUCAAGAAAAUGACGGUAGCAUAUGAAUAAGCACCGGCUAACUCCGUGCCAGCAGCCGCGAGUAAUACGGAGGGUGCAAGCGUUACUCGGAAUCACUGGGCGUAAAGGACGCGUAGGCGGGUUGGAAAGUCAGGUGUGAAAUCCUACAGCUUAACUGUAGAACUGCACUUGAAACUUCUAAUCUAGAGUAUGGGAGGGGGAGAUGGAAUUAGUGGUGUAGGGGUAAAAUCCGUAGAUAUCACUAGGAAUACCUAAAGCGAAGGCGAUCUCCUGGAACAUUACUGACGCUAAGGCGUGAAAGCGUGGGGAGCAAACAGGAUUAGAUACCCUGGUAGUC